UACGUAGGGUGCGAGCGUUAAUCGGAAUUACUGGGCGUAAAGCGUGCGCAGGCGGUUUUGUAAGCCAGAUGUGAAAUCCCCGGGCUUAACCUGGGAAUGGCAUUUGGGACUGCAAGGCUGGAGUGCGGCAGAGGAGACUGGAAUUCCUGGUGUAGCAGUGAAAUGCGUAGAUAUGUGGAGGAAUACCGAUGGCGAAGGCAGCCUCCUGGGCCAACACUGACGCUCAUGCACGAAAGCGUGGGGAGCGAACAGG
This 253-nucleotide ribosomal RNA is filed under the name uncultured bacterium. RNAcentral's name for it is "partial 16S ribosomal RNA". It matches the Rfam family "Bacterial small subunit ribosomal RNA", at positions 524 to 776 of the family's 1533-position model. The record is from RNAcentral.